AACAUCGCCUCCUGCAAAAAUCAAUGUAUAGGAGGUCCUGCCUGCCCAGUGACAACUAGUUAAACGGCCGCGGUAUUUUGACCGUGCUAAGGUAGCGCAAUCACUUGUCUUUUAAAUGAAGACCUGUAUGAAUGGUGGAACGAGGGCUUAACUGUCUCCCUUCUCCGGUCAAUGAAAUUGAUCUGCCCGUGCAGAAGCGGGCAUAAAAAUACAAGACGAGAAGACCCUUUGGAGCUUAUUGGGGCGACCGCGGGGGAAAACAAAGCCCCCAUGUAAAACCAAGAAGGACACUUCUAAGCUACAGAACAUCUGACCAAAAGAUCCGGCACACAAGCCGAUCAACGGACCAAGUUACCCUAGGGAUAACAGCGCAAUCCUCUCCAAGAGUUCAUAUCGACGAGAGGGUUUACGACCUCGAUGUUGGAUCAGGACAUCCUAAUGGUGCAGCCGCUAUUAAGGGUUCGUUUGUUCAACGAUUAAAGUCCUACGUGA
RNAcentral lists this ribosomal RNA (492 nucleotides) under Curimata acutirostris. RNAcentral's name for it is "partial 16S ribosomal RNA". It matches the Rfam family "Bacterial large subunit ribosomal RNA", at positions 1812 to 2603 of the family's 2925-position model. The record is from RNAcentral. Lineage: Eukaryota; Metazoa; Chordata; Actinopteri; Characiformes; Curimatidae.